AGAGUUUGAUCAUGGCUCAGGACGAACGCUGGCGGCGUGCUUAACACAUGCAAGUCGAACGGAGCACCCUUGACUGAGGUUUCGACCAAAUGAUAGGAAUGCUUAGUGGCAGACUGGUGAGCAACGCGUGAGGAACCUGCCUUGGAGUGGGGAAUAACAGUCCGAAAGGACUGCUAAUACCGCAUAAUGCAGCUGGGUCGCAUGACUCUGGCUGCCAAAGAUUUAUCACUCUGAGAUGGCCUCGCGUCUGAUUAGCUAGUAGGCGGGGUAACGGCCCACCUAGGCGACGAUCAGUAGCCGG
RNAcentral lists this ribosomal RNA (301 nucleotides) under uncultured bacterium. RNAcentral describes it as "bacterial SSU rRNA". It matches the Rfam family "Bacterial small subunit ribosomal RNA", at positions 8 to 290 of the family's 1533-position model. The record is from RNAcentral.